UCCAGUUUUGUUGCAAAAGAAACAAGUUUCUUUGUCUUCCUUCUUUUUCUUUUGUGCUGGACCCUUAUGAGCAGCUUCAUGUUCCUUCCUCUUUUUCUUGCCCUUAUCCUUAGAAGUGCUUGCCAAGUGAGCACUUUUAGUCCUUUCUUGCUUCAACCUUUCUUCCUCUUGCACACAAUAUGAAAUGAGCUCAUUUAGAGACCAUUUAUUCUUCUGACAGUUAUAACUGACCUUAAAUUGACUGAAUUGUGCAGGAAGCGAGAUCAAUACCAAAUGGACGAGCAAGUCAUCAGACAGCUUGAGCUUUAGUC
Molecule: long non-coding RNA, 311 nt
Filed under: Olea europaea (common olive)
Lineage: Eukaryota; Viridiplantae; Streptophyta; Magnoliopsida; Lamiales; Oleaceae
Description: long non-coding RNA (OEUR_LNC003968)
Source: RNAcentral